Long non-coding RNA from Strigops habroptila (Kakapo), 3118 nucleotides. Ensembl lists it as uncharacterized. Lineage: Eukaryota; Metazoa; Chordata; Aves; Psittaciformes; Psittacidae. The record is from Ensembl.
CUUUCUGCGCGGCCCGGGGCGCUGGGGCGCGGCGGUGGGGAUGCGGGGCGCCCUGCGGCGGGUGCCCCUCUCGGCGGGUGCCCCUCUCGGCGGGUGCCCGGCGGCGGGGGCGGUGCUGCCGGUGGCUCUGUGGCUUGUGAGCGGUUCCGUCCGUGCCGCAGCGGUAGCUUGGGCCGCCGGGCGCUCCGGCAGCGGCAGGGCGGUGGCUGGCGGCCCGGGGAGCGAUGCACUCGGCCUCAGAGCUGCUGCCGCUGCCUCCCGAGGCAGCUCCUUCGGCAGAGCAUGUGCGCGCCCGAGCAGCAGAGCGGUUCCCCGUUUCUCUCACAGGGGUUAGAACUGCUCUCUGCUGUUCAGCGGCAGAGGGGUUGGAGCUGGAUGAUAUUUAAGGUCCCUUCCAACCCAAACCAUGCUAUGAUUAUAAAUCCAAUUCUGGCAGCACAAAACAAUAACUAUAAGCUGAGGAACUGAAGGGGCGGGUCGCUGGCACCGUUCCCUUAACGGCGUAAGGCAUCACUUAAAAGGCAGCAAGUGAAGUUAUGAGUUUGUUACAAGGUUUGGGAAUCAUCAGUCUGGACUCUGCCAUGCUGUUGCCUUGCAAGCAGAAAGAUGUCAUGUCAAUUCUGGAGCUACAGAAGUGCUGUGACAUCAGAUGACCUUCUCCACUGUCUCCAAACCCUGUGUAUGCACAUACAGCCAACAGCAGACUGCAUCCACCUCUAGAAGAAUGGGUGUUUAAGGUGCUUGAACACAGCAGCCUGAAAUGUGGAGUUCUAAUGCACUUGGAAAUGCUUUCCUGGCCCUUCCUGUUCCUCAGAAAUAUGGCUUGAUUCAACAGCAAGGCAGGGGAGCAGCUGUUCUGUGAACAAUCCUCAGAUGAUGUUCAGCUGAAACUCUAGAAAGGGAAACAGCCCUGUGGGCACUUGGAGAACUCAGUAUGAAUACCUAACUGUACCAAAUUGAAGAAAAUUGAAUAAAUUGAGUGUUAAAACCUGUAGAAGAACUGUCUAAAUGAGUGUUUACACUGUUAGUAGUGGCAGCUUUCCUGCUUGCCUUCAUGGCAGUGUGUGUAUGAGUAAAAUCUCGGGUUUGUGUUUUCAGUGACUAGUGUUUUGUCGAGGCGCUGUGAGUGGUACAUCCUGCUGGAUGCCCUGGCUAGGAGUCACACCGAGCAAACCUUUGGUGUCCAGCUUGUUAAAGCUGACGGGGAAACCUGUACAAUUUUUCUGCUGCCUCUUUUUAACCCAGGCCCUCGUGGAUGUAAAAUCUGGCCAGUGUUCUGCCUAUUGCCAUAUUGAUGUUAGGAAGACAGAAUUCAGGAAAGUCCAUAGUUGGAGAAGCAUGUGGUGUCUCAGCCACUUCAUCUUCUACCACACCAUUCUUUACACUUGUUUUUGCAGUGAGGUAGAUAGAGUUGAUCUCACUGAGCUGCCUACCCACCAGAUUGCCUGACAGCUUUUUUGUUUCACUUUCCUGUAGGGUUCUACUCUCCCCUGCAGUCUAUACAAAGUAAUGUGGAAAUAGUGAGGUUUUUUAGACUGCAGGAGCACACUUGGCAUCCUGCUCUAAUAUGGUGCUGUAAUGUAAAACUAAGACACAGAACAUCAAGCAGUAUGGUGACGCUUUUAUACAUUUUACAGAGCACGAGUAAUUUAAGAAAGUUGGCUUAAGCCGGAAAAUGUACCACCCCUCAUUGAGUGGUGUAUUUAAAAAGAAGCAACAAGAGAAACUUUUUGGAGAGAGUUCAUGGAGUUGAAAUGAAACAUUAGAUUCUAAACUCCUGGUUUAAUUCUUAGUUGUAGUCUUAUUAAAAGCCCUGCUUUAUUCCUCGCUUAACUGUGGACGAACAGUGGUAGCCAGGAAGUAAAGUUCAGGUUCUGGCUUUAUUCUGAAGCUGUGGCCUUCCAGGAUGAAGAUGUCACUCCUGCCUCUAAAACAACACUGUCACAAAACUUGUGAUUAAAUCUUGUCAACCAUGCUUUAUCCCUUAGCAAACCAGCACUGACCUGUCUGACAAAAACACUAAAAACUUUAUUAGUUGUAUAUUUCUAACUGCAGUCUCAGAAGGCUAAAGACUCAGGCUUUACUUACUUACACAAUGGACUUUUCACUCUUCAUUAGUGUUAAUGUGAAUUCCUGGGCCAUAUGCACCAAUGAACUUCAGCAGUUGAUGGUGACACUGCAUGAGGUAACUGUCUCUCUGUUGCAGGGAGUUUUCAUCACUGAGGUCAAAUGGAAAUACAGGAUUUGGUGCUAUGCAUAAUGCAGACUUGCCUAAGCAAAGAAGAAAGAGACUUAUGCUGAAAGAUGUGAUAAACUUCUGCCAGAUUUGAUAAACUUCCCUUCGAAGGGAAAAGAAAGCUGUGACACAGAUUACUUAAAUGGCAACAUAAAAGAUUGUGUUGUGGAGUGUUACAUGGUAAUUCUUGUCUCACUGCCAAAUUUGUGUAUGAACCAAUGUGACUGUGAUGCUAGAUAAACAACCUGCAACCCUUGUCUACUGUUUCCCCAGGGAGGGAAGUCUGCCAGCAUGAAGGACAGCACUGACUGUGUGGCAAAGUCAACUGAAAGACCUGACACAAGUCUUCAGUGCAACUUCUGGACUUUGAUUUGACAUGAACUAUUAUUGCAAUCAAUUGAUACAAACUUUUUUCAAACUGACAAAAUCUGAAAACUCUGUACCCAAGACUAAAGACUGAGUUGCAUUAUUUACCGUGUUUUAGGGUCAGAGAUGAUUCAAGUAACAAGACGGCAAUCAACGCAUCUUCUUCAAGUACUUUCUUUCUUAGACUUAGUUUAGCAUGAGCCUUAGACAGUGAAAUCCUGACACAUGAAUACAAGCAUGUCAGAAAUAAAUAUUGCGGACAUGAAUGUAGUAUGUACUGUGCUGCUUCAAGCGCUUCCAAACCUCAAAAGUUAACACAAGUGGGUUUUUCCUAUACCUUGGCUGUGUAAACUCCCCCCAGAUACUGUGUGGUUAUACUUGUCACUGACGAGGUGUGUGUUACUAGGCAUGCUUUUCUUAUGCUCUGAAAGCAGUGGAAGCUGGCAUAUUAUAUACUGUUAAUAACUUUGCUUGUGUAAUACCAAGCUGUAAUAAUUAAAAUCCGAUUUUUGUUUU